RNAcentral lists this ribosomal RNA (253 nucleotides) under uncultured bacterium. RNAcentral describes it as "partial 16S ribosomal RNA". It matches the Rfam family "Bacterial small subunit ribosomal RNA", at positions 524 to 776 of the family's 1533-position model. The record is from RNAcentral.
UACGGAGGAGGCAAGCGUUAUCCGGAAUUAUUGGGCGUAAAGCGUCCGCAGGUGGCACUUCAAGUCUGUCGUCAAAGACUGGGGCUUAACCCUGGAAAGGCCGUGGAAACCGACGAGCUAGAGUGCAGUAGGGGUAGAGGGAAUUCCCGGUGUAGCGGUGAAAUGCGUAGAGCUCGGGAAGAACAUCGGUGGCGAAAGCGCUCUACUGGACUGCAACUGACACUCAGGGACGAAAGCUAGGGGAGCGAAUGGG